GCUGGUAUAGCUCAGUGGUUGAGCAUCUACCUAUGAACCAGAAGAUCACAGUUCAAUUCUGGGUCAGGGCA
Myotis brandtii (Brandt's bat) is the source of this 71-nucleotide non-coding RNA. The record is from Rfam. NCBI's taxonomy places the organism in Eukaryota, Metazoa, Chordata, Mammalia, Chiroptera, Vespertilionidae.